This 537-nucleotide ribosomal RNA is filed under the name uncultured bacterium. RNAcentral describes it as "bacterial SSU rRNA". It matches the Rfam family "Bacterial small subunit ribosomal RNA", at positions 102 to 674 of the family's 1533-position model. The record is from RNAcentral.
ACGGGUGAGUAACGCGUGGGAAUCUACCGUACCCUACGGAAUAGCUCUGGGAAACUGGAAGUAAUACCGUAUACGCCCUAACGGGGAAAGAUUUAUCGGGGUAUGAUGAGCCCGCGUUGGAUUAGCUAGUUGGUGGGGUAAAGGCCUACCAAGGCGACGAUCCAUAGCUGGUCUGAGAGGAUGAUCAGCCACAUUGGGACUGAGACACGGCCCAAACUCCUACGGGAGGCAGCAGUGGGGAAUAUUGGACAAUGGGGGCAACCCUGAUCCAGCCAUGCCGCGUGAGUGAUGAAGGUCUUAGGAUUGUAAAGCUCUUUCAACGGUGAAGAUAAUGACGGUAACCGUAGAAGAAGCCCCAGCUAACUUCGUGCCAGCAGCCGCGGUAAUACGAAGGGGGCUAGCGUUGUUCGGAAUUACUGGGCGUAAAGCGCACGUAGGCGGGUAUUUAAGUCAGGGGUGAAAUCCCGCAGCUCAACUGCGGAACUGCCUUUGAUACUGGGUAUCUUGAGUAUGGAAGAGGUAAGUGGAAUUGCGAGU